GGGCCGUUAGCUCAGUUGGUAGAGCAGCGGACUUUUAAUCCGUUGGUCGCAGGUUCGAGUCCCGCACGGCCUACCA
RNAcentral lists this transfer RNA (76 nucleotides) under Betaproteobacteria bacterium. Its description in RNAcentral is "tRNA-Lys". It matches the Rfam family "tRNA". From Rfam's summary of the family: Transfer RNA (tRNA) molecules are approximately 80 nucleotides in length. RNAcentral also lists the same sequence under 2 other names. The record is from RNAcentral. Lineage: Bacteria; Pseudomonadati; Pseudomonadota; Betaproteobacteria.